Molecule: long non-coding RNA, 1546 nt
Filed under: Musa acuminata (dwarf banana)
Lineage: Eukaryota; Viridiplantae; Streptophyta; Magnoliopsida; Zingiberales; Musaceae
Description: long non-coding RNA (MACU_LNC001043)
Source: RNAcentral
UCUGAUUGUCCUGUCUGCUUAUUGCGAAUCACCUUUAUAGAGACAACCUGUGUAUCAAAACAAAUGUACAGAUAUACAUAUCAGGUUAGUUUCAAGUGUGUGUUCAUACAACAAUAUCAGGUUACUUUUAUAGAGACAAACUGUGUAUCAAAACACAUGUACAGAUAUACAUAUCAGGUUAGUUUCAAGUCUGUGGUCAUACAACAAUAUAAGGUUACCUUCUAGUCUCCUACACAUGCAACAAAUCAUAACUCAAAAUAUGAUAAGUACAAGCAUCUACUUUUCAAAAUGAAAUUAACCAUUCUUUAGUUUGUGCAUACUUAAUGACUGAUCAUCAGAUUAGUGCCAAUACCACGACCACAAUAGACUAGAAUUGCAAGAGAGAAGGAAAAACUUAAUGGACCCCGAGAAGGAUAGGUGCAUCCAACUGAUAUUGGCUGAUUCCAACCAUUUUCAGCAAAAGCAAAGGUGGGUUAAAAUAUUGGGAAGAAUAACGUGGGUAUGGCCAAUUCAAGACCAGAUCUUCCAAUCCAGAUCUAUCCUUCAGACCUUGAAUGAAGUACCUAGACAACAAGAGGCAAGUUAAGCAAGGCUAUAGGCAAAAUUAUGGUAAGAUUUGGAGCGAGGCAAGCCAAAGAAGGUUGGUUUCCAUGGUGUCUCAGAUAGCAUCAAAAUAGGACUAGGUGCAAAUAAGGAUCAUAACAAUGUAAUACUGUUAAUAAAAUACACAUGCGUUUUAACCUUUCCUACUUAAUGCAUGUGACUUUGUCAAGUUUUAGCCUUUACCACUGAUACUUGGUCCGUUUGCAUAAUUGACAAGACACAUGAGUGGCAUAAGUGGGGAUGAUGCUCAAUCCUUAUAAUUUAAGCAAACAAAUCUAAGAAGGAAGCAGUUAUUGUGUUCCUUAAGUACAAAAAAAAGCCAGAGAACAGUCGUAAAAGAAAUUGCAUAUCCCUAAGCUUCGGAUGCAUGUAGAAAUUGUCCGAAGUAAAGCAUAUCCACAAUGUUGCAUAUAUUUCCUGAGGAAAAGAUGCCAUGCAAAUAAGACAAUAAUAAUAAUAAUCAAUCUAUAAAUAUUGGGGAGGCAACAGAUUAUUUGUCUUCACAAUGUUAGCUGGUCAACAAAGGCCACUUUUCUUGAAAGCAAUCUCCUUAAUUUGAAGUAUAAGAAGAAGUUCUAUCCCACCAACGGAAUGGACAGUCAUUUACAGAUUAGAAUGCUUUUAUAAACCAAUUAUUCCCUAAGUAAAAUUUCCCAAAAAAUAUAUAUAACAACAGUUGAGAUUAAAUUUCGCAAUGGUAUGUUUAAAAUGUAGCUUUUAUAGUCUUAAUUUCUAACAUAAAUGAUAAAAUUAUCCACAUCUCAUGCAGAUAUAAACUAAAAGGAAUCAUUAUCAUUUUGUUCAUGCAUCCGGCGACCUAUAAACUCAAACAUCCAUAUGUACUCCAAGCAUAUAUAUAUAGCAAACGGAAGGAUUCAGGAAGACCCAAUUCAUAUUUAAGAAAGAGAAGAAUCUUCUCAUCAAUUAGGAAGAACGACAACAU